GUCUCUGCUGCUUCCUGAUUGUGUACUUCUGGUUCCAAAUGAGUUUAACCUCAGAAACUCUCUUUGAUGUAUUUAUGAACUCAAUCCAAAUACCAGUACUCUCAUCCUGCUUUUCUUUCCUGUAUUUGGAUGCAAAUCCAAGCACCCAGAUGCUAAGCAACGGAAGAUAUUUUCCAGUGGCAACAUUUCAUUCCUUGGCAGAAACUGCAGGCAAAUGAAACAAUUGUUUUGAUGAUUUUUGGAGUCACAUUUCAAGUCUGUCACACAGUUCAUGUGAUGAUGAGCUGACUGGGCUGUCUUGUCUUCCUGGACACUCUUUUUGGCUUUGCUUCUCCAUUAAUUCUGUUUGAAAACAAGUUCCUGUGCCAAUUCCAUUCCACAAGGGAGAGUUGCAGAUGACUGUUCAUGAUCAAAAGGAAAUAGUAUUUUUUCAUGGUCUUUUUUUUUUUUUUUGGAAAUGUUUGUUGCCCUCAGAGCUGGUGUAUAUUAAGAUUGGGCAACAGAUUACAGAUCAGAAAGGGGUUGAAAAAUAAUGAAAUAACUGGAACCAUAGGAAAUGUUUAUGGCAAGAGAACAGGAGAUUCAUAUUAAUAACCUGAAAAUAAAAUGACCAAAGAAUCACUAUCAAAUGCUAUGUAAUU
Molecule: long non-coding RNA, 641 nt
Organism: Mauremys reevesii (Reeves's turtle)
Lineage: Eukaryota; Metazoa; Chordata; Testudines; Geoemydidae
Exons: 3
Source: RefSeq, a predicted model, not a curated record